This 497-nucleotide ribosomal RNA is filed under the name uncultured bacterium. RNAcentral describes it as "partial 16S ribosomal RNA". It matches the Rfam family "Bacterial small subunit ribosomal RNA", at positions 28 to 507 of the family's 1533-position model. The record is from RNAcentral.
GAUGAACGCUGGCGGCGUGCCUAAUACAUGCAAGUCGAGCGAACGGACGAGAAGCUUGCUUCUCUGUUGUUAGCGGCGGAAGGGCGAGUAACACGUGGAUAACCUACCUAUAAGACUGGGAUAACUUCGGGAAACCGUAGCUAAUACCGGAUAAUAUUUUGAACCGCAUGGUUCAAAAGUGAAAGACGGUCUUGCUGUCACUUAUCGAUGGAUCCGCGCUGCAUUAGCUAGUUGGUAAGGUAACGGCUUACCAAGGCAACGAUGCAUAGCCGACCUGAGAGGGUGAUCGGCCACACUGGAAGUGAGACACGGUCCAGGCUCCUACGGGAGGCAGCAGUAGGGAAUCUUCCGCAAUGGGCGAAAGCCUGACGCAGCAACGCCGCGUGAGUGAUGAAGGUCUUCGGAUCGUAAAACUCUGUUAUUAGGGAAGAACAUGUGUGUAAGUACCUGUGCACAUCUUGACGGUACCUAAUCAGAAAGCUACGGCUAACUACGUG